Molecule: long non-coding RNA, 1754 nt
Organism: Camarhynchus parvulus
Lineage: Eukaryota; Metazoa; Chordata; Aves; Passeriformes; Thraupidae
Source: Ensembl
AGACAAAUAAAUAAAUAGCCAGGAAGAAGGAAAAGGCAGGAAGGAGCGGGAUACAGGCACGUAGCUAAACAAACACAGCGGCACCGGGGGAAAAAGGGAAGAUACAGAUAUUUUUUCUCCCACUCCUUCCUAAACUGACACCCCCCGAAAGAUUUGGCGGCGCUGGGGAAGGCGGCAGCUGGGAAACAGCUGUACAAUUCCUGGGGUAAUGGGGAGGGGAAGGAACUCAAAAGGAUCAUUAGUGAAGGGAUGGGGGCAUGGAAAGGACUCCCAGGAACCGGAGGAACCCCCCCUGGGUCGGCAGCAUCCCCGCGCCGCGGCUGGAGCAGGUAAACGCUGCAGCGGGGCCCUCCCGGGGCUCCCUGACGGCUUUUCCCGGCAGUUCUCGGGUUUUUUCUACCUGUUCCCCGAGGCGGCUUUGCCCGGUCCCACCUGGUUCCCAUCGCCCCCGCGGCUCUGCCUUUUGCUUCUUCCAUUAAAGCAGAAAUAGGGGAAUAAAAUUAAAGCGAAAGUGGGAGCCCGGAGCAGCCCCCGACGGGCCGGGCUGGGAGAGCGCGAAGGAGCGGCGGGAGAAGCUCGGAACGAGCUCGGUCCUGUCCGAGCCUGGGGACGGCCACGGAGCCCCGGGACACCCGGGCCGAGGGGAACCGGGUGCUCUGGAGCUCCGGGGAGAGCCGGGGAACCGGGAGAGCCGCAGCCCGGUACUGGGGAACGAGAGCGGUACUGCCCCCGAGAGCGGUACCGAGGGAACCGGGACCGCUGGGGCUCCGGAGCGGGCACACCGGGCAGCGCUGCCAGCCCCGCAGUUCGGCCUCCCCCAGGUCCCGGAGCCUCGGGCCCGUCCGUGCGGCCGCACCGCGGCUGCUGCCGCCGGUCCUGCCCGGUGGGCUCCGGGAAGCGGAGUCGGCGGCCGGACGGGACUUUGCAGCCUCCUCCGGGAGCGCGGCCGCUCUCCAUCCCCGGGAGCGGGGACCGGCCGCUCUCCAUCCCCGGGAACGGGGACCGGCCGCUCUCCAUCCCCGGGAACGGGGACCGGCCGCUCUCCAUCCCCGGGAACGGGGACCGGCCGCUCUCCAUCCCCGGGAACGGGGACCGGCCGUUCCCCACCCCGGGCCGUACCCGCCGUCUCGGCCGCUCCCCGCCGCUUUUUCUCCCCCUUCCCUCGCUGUUUCUGGAGAACGGGAACCGGCCCGGACACCCCGCUCUCUGUCGCGACACAGCCCAGCUGCCGGCCCUUCCCAGCUCCGGCUCCCGUCGGGGAACGCCCUGGAUAUCCCCGACGGGGCCAUAUCGCGACAUCGCCGCCUCGGAGCAGCCCCGGGGAGCGUGUCAGCGCAAUGACACCCUCGGGGGGUCAGGGCUGGGGCUCCCGGCGGAACCCGAGAGGGGGAAGAGAAGCAGAAGGGGCCGGGAGGGGUCGGCAGCCCCGGCCCCCCAUCCACCCGCGGCUCCCCGGUACCUGCAGCCCCGGGCGGGUACGGGGGCUUCCCAUGCACGGCCACGGCGGGGGGGCCCGGGCUGGGCACCCCCGGGUACCGCGGGCAGCGGCCGGGCCGGGGGCUGAGCGGCGGCGGCCGCCGGUGGGGCCCCGGAGCACCGAGGGCGAAGGCGGUGGGAGGCUGGGGGAGCCCCGGGGGACCCCCGGGCCGGCGAGGCGGGGGGAAGGCCGGGCAGCCCGGUGUGUCCAUGGCGCGGCUUGGAGGGGACGGGGACGGUCCGCGGGAGCGGAUUUUGUGCGGGGCACGGGGAGGAGG